This 492-nucleotide ribosomal RNA is filed under the name uncultured bacterium. Its description in RNAcentral is "partial 16S ribosomal RNA". It matches the Rfam family "Bacterial small subunit ribosomal RNA", at positions 29 to 507 of the family's 1533-position model. The record is from RNAcentral.
AGUGAACGCUGGCGGUAGGCCUAACACAUGCAAGUCGAACGGCAGCACAGUAAGAGCUUGCUCUUACGGGUGGCGAGUGGCGGACGGGUGAGGAAUACAUCGGAAUCUACUUUUUCGUGGGGGAUAACGUAGGGAAACUUACGCUAAUACCGCAUACGACCUACGGGUGAAAGCAGGGGAUCUUCGGACCUUGCGCGAUUCAAUGAGCCGAUGUCGGAUUAGCUAGUUGGCGGGGUAAAGGCCCACCAAGGCGACGAUCCGUAGCUGGUCUGAGAGGAUGAUCAGCCACACUGGAACUGAGACACGGUCCAGACUCCUGCGGGAGGCAGCAGUGGGGAAUAUUGGACAAUGGGCGCAAGCCUGAUCCAGCCAUACCGCGUGGGUGAAGAAGGCCUUCGGGUUGUAAAGCCCUUUUGUUGGGAAAGAAAAGCAGCAGGUUAAUACCCCGCUGUUCUGACGGUACCCAAAGAAUAAGCACCGGCUAACUUCGUG